GGUUCUUAGAUUAGGUUAUUUUGAAAAUAAUUGAAGGGCAGUAAUAUUUGUCCAAGAGCUU
RNAcentral lists this transfer RNA (61 nucleotides) under Mactra cumingii. Its description in RNAcentral is "tRNA-Ser". The record is from RNAcentral. Lineage: Eukaryota; Metazoa; Mollusca; Bivalvia; Venerida; Mactridae.